GUAGUGGGAUGUCCACAAGUUGUCUCCUAUAACAGUUUGGAUUACAAAAUUCAGGUUGAAAUUUUCCUUUCUUCCUAUGUCAAUCAUACCAAGAGUAAAAAAUUUUGUAAAUAGAAUUCAGCAAGACAACAUAUAGUUAUUGAAAUUUAUAAUGCAUAAACUAAUUUUUACAUACAACAUCGACCAGUGAAAAAGAACAAUAUUUUACUAUCCAGACUAUUUUUAGAAAUAGUUGCAAUGAGGGUAAGAACAGAAUUGAUCAAUACAAACACUAAUGCCUAUAAUUAAGGCAUCUAAUUAUUUUCAGCUAUUCACAGAGCUGAUUUGUUUAACAACUACCCCUAUUUAAAGUACAGACAAGCCUAAAAAAGGCAUUUUCUGAAUAGAUUUACAUGAAUAAAUUAGAUUAAAAACAGCACUUUCAUAAUUGAUUUACAGGUCAGCUGUUUGUUAUGUACAAAUAAUACACAGGAGAGAGAGAGAGAGAG
RNAcentral lists this unclassified non-coding RNA (488 nucleotides) under Hevea brasiliensis (rubber tree). The record is from RNAcentral. Lineage: Eukaryota; Viridiplantae; Streptophyta; Magnoliopsida; Malpighiales; Euphorbiaceae.